AACGCGAAGAACCUUACCAGGGCUUAAAUGUAAGUUGCAUGGACCAGAGAUGGACCUUUCUUCGGACUACUUACAAGGUGCUGCAUGGUUGUCGUCAGCUCGUGCCGUGAGGUGUCAGGUUAAGUCCUAUAACGAGCGCAACCCCUAUCGUUAGUUGCCAGCAAGUUGUGUUGGGUACUCUAGCGAGACUGCCGGUGCAAACCGAGAGGAAGGUGGGGAUGACGUCAAAUCAUCACGGCCCUUACGUCCUGGGCUACACACGUGCUACAAUGGUCGGUACAGAGAGCAGCCACUCCGCGAGGAGGAGCGAACCUUCAAAACCGAUCUCAGUUCGGAUCGCAGUCUGCAACUCGACUGCGUGAAGCUGGAAUCGCUAGUAAUCGCAUAUCAGCCAUGAUGCGGUGAAUACGUUCCCGGGUC
RNAcentral lists this ribosomal RNA (420 nucleotides) under uncultured marine bacterium. RNAcentral describes it as "bacterial SSU rRNA". It matches the Rfam family "Bacterial small subunit ribosomal RNA", at positions 958 to 1380 of the family's 1533-position model. The record is from RNAcentral.